This 837-nucleotide ribosomal RNA is filed under the name uncultured bacterium. Its description in RNAcentral is "bacterial SSU rRNA". It matches the Rfam family "Bacterial small subunit ribosomal RNA", at positions 650 to 1501 of the family's 1533-position model. The record is from RNAcentral.
AGUUGAAGUGGGCGGAACACAUCAUGUAGCGGUGAAAUGCAUAGAUAUGAUGUAGAACGCCGAUUGCGAAGGCAGCUCACUAAGUUAGUAUUGACGCUGAGGCACGAAAGCGUGGGUAGCGAACAGGAUUAGAUACCCUGGUAGUCCACGCCGUAAACGAUGGUUACUCGCUGUUGGCGAUAUAAUGUCAGUGGCCAAGCGAAAGCAUUAAGUAACCCACCUGGGGAGUACGUUCGCAAGAAUGAAACUCAAAGGAAUUGACGGGGGCCCGCACAAGCGGUGGAGCAUGUGGUUUAAUUCGAUGAUACGCGAGGAACCUUACCAGGGCUUAAAUGCAUAUUGACAGGGCUGGAAACAGCUUUUUCUUCGGACAAUUUGCAAGGUGCUGCAUGGUUGUCGUCAGCUCGUGCUGUGAAGUGUCGGGUUAAGUCCCAUAACGAGCGCAACCCCUAUCUUCAGUUGCCAGCGGGUAAUGCCGGGGACUCUGGAGAAACUGCCACCGUAAGGUGCGAGGAAGGUGGGGAUGACGUCAAAUCAUCACGGCCCUCACGUCCUGGGCUACACACGUGCUACAAUGGCCGGUACAGAGGGCAGCCACCCCGCGAGGGGGAGCAAAUCUCCAAAGCCGGUCUCAGUUCGGAUUGGAGUCUGCAACUCGACUCCAUGAAGCUGGAAUCGCUAGUAAUCGCGUAUCAGCAAUGACGCGGUGAAUACGUUCCCGGGCCUUGUACACACCGCCCGUCAAGCCAUGGAAGCUGGGGGUACCUGAAGUCGGUGACCGUAAGGAGCUGCCUAGGGUAAAACCAGUAACUGGGGGUAAGUCGUAACAAGGUACCA